GUGCUUGCUUCCAUAGCAUGUGUACCAACAUUGGGAUGAUACAGAGAAGAUUACUAGCCCCUGUGCAUGAUUGACACACAAGUUCAUGAAGUGUUCCAUGUUUUA
This is a small nuclear RNA of Tupaia belangeri (northern tree shrew), 105 nucleotides long. NCBI's taxonomy places the organism in Eukaryota, Metazoa, Chordata, Mammalia, Scandentia, Tupaiidae. The record is from Ensembl.